GAUGAACGCUGGCGGCGUGCCUAAUACAUGCAAGUCGAGCGAAUGGAUUAAGAGCUUGCUCUUAUGAAGUUAGCGGCGGACGGGUGAGUAACACGUGGGUAACCUGCCCAUAAGACUGGGAUAACUCCGGGAAACCGGGGCUAAUACCGGAUAACAUUUUGAACCGCAUGGUUCGAAAUUGAAAGGCGGCUUCGGCUGUCACUUACGGAUGGAUCCACGUCGCAUUAGCUAGAUGGUGAGGUAACGGCUCACCAAGGCAACGAUGCGUAGCCGACCUGAGAGGGUGAUCGGCCACACUGGGACUGAGACACGGCCCAGACUCCUACGGGAGGCAGCAGUAGGGAAUCUUCCGCAAUGGACGAAAGUCUGACGGAGCAACGCCGCGUGAGUGAUGAAGGCUUUCGGGUCGUAAAACCCUGUUGUUAGGGAAGAACAAGUGCUAGUUGAAUAAGCUGACACCUUGACGGUACCUAACCAGAAAGCCACGGCUAACUACGUGCCAGCCGCCGCGGUAA
This 515-nucleotide ribosomal RNA is filed under the name uncultured bacterium. RNAcentral's name for it is "partial 16S ribosomal RNA". It matches the Rfam family "Bacterial small subunit ribosomal RNA", at positions 28 to 523 of the family's 1533-position model. The record is from RNAcentral.